AGGAUGAACGCUGGCGGCGUGUCUAAGGCAUGCAAGUCGAACGAGUGGCAAACGGGUGAGUAACACAUUGGAAUCUACCCCGAGUCGUGAAUAACCCCGCGAAAGCGGGACUAAUACACGAUAGGAAGAGCUUAUGGCCUAUCAGCUAGUUGGUGAGGUAAUAGCUUACCAAGGCAAUGACGGGUAGCGGGUGUGAGAGCACGACCCGCCUCACUGGGACUGAGACACUGCCCAGACUCCUACGGGAGGCUGCAGUCAAGAAUAUUUCGCAAUGCCCGCGAGGGUGACGAAGCGACGCCGCGUGACUGAUGAAGCCCUUCGGGGUGUAAAGGUCUUUUAUUAGGGAUGACGGUACCUAACGAAUAAGAGGUUGCUAACUCUGUGCCAGCAGCAGCGGUAAUACAGAGACCUCAAGCGUUAUCCGGAUUUAUUGGGCGUAAAGAGUGCGCAGGCAGCUUAUUAAGUUAGUGGUAAAUCCCAAAGCUCAACUUUGGAUCAGCCACUAAAACUACUAAGCUAGAGAUUGGGAGAGGCAAGCGGAAUUGCCGGUGUAGGGGUAAAAUCCGUUGAUAUCGGCAAGAACACCAAAUGCAAAGGCAGCUUGCUAGAACAUUUCUGACGCUGGUGCACGAAAGCGUGGGGAUCAAAGAGGAUUAGAUACCCUCGUAGUCCACGCCGUAAACGAUGGACACUAGACAUUGGUCGUUUAGCUAACGCGUUAAGUGUCCCGCC
RNAcentral lists this ribosomal RNA (732 nucleotides) under uncultured Planctomycetales bacterium. Its description in RNAcentral is "bacterial SSU rRNA". It matches the Rfam family "Bacterial small subunit ribosomal RNA", at positions 26 to 873 of the family's 1533-position model. The record is from RNAcentral. Lineage: Bacteria; Pseudomonadati; Planctomycetota; Planctomycetia; Planctomycetales.